RNA transcript from Bombina bombina (fire-bellied toad), 2090 nucleotides. It is a transcript of the gene named collagen alpha-1(VI) chain-like, with no coding region annotated. The record is from RefSeq and is a predicted model, not a curated record. The transcript has 31 exons. NCBI's taxonomy places the organism in Eukaryota, Metazoa, Chordata, Amphibia, Anura, Bombinatoridae.
CACCUGAACUGCCAUUCAGAAGGUUUGGAUUCCAUCAUACGUGUAGAUCACCUGGACUCCCAUUCAGAAGCAGGUGGUAAGACUACUUCAUGGCACUACAAUGAAUCAAUAUUUAAAGCUAGUUCUUCUUUUUAUGAUUUUGGAGCAGACUAAUUCCAUUCCUCAAUCCAACAGGACAAAGCUACACGACUGUCCGACUGAUGUGUACAUUGCUCUGGAUACAUCUGAAAGUGUCGCCCUCAGAGCACAACCCUACGGAUCCCUAGUAGAGAAAAUAAAGGCAUUUGCAGCAGGUUUAGUGGAUCAUCUGAACAGUAGGUACCACAGAUGUGAUAGGCUACUGACUUGGAACGCUGGGGUUCUACACUAUAGUGAUGAAGUGAAGGUAAUCAGUGAGCUUGUCAGCAUGGAGACCAAUAAGGCACAGCUGAAGUCAGCCAUCGAAGAGGUGAAAUAUCUUGGAAAAGGAACCUACACAGAUUGUGCUAUCACUGCAGCUACUGGGCAGCUUCUGAGUGGUGGAAGCUAUCGGAAGGGAAAUAAGUUUAUGGUAAUAGUCACAGACGGAUAUCCCAAUGAGGGACACAAGGAGCCAUGUGGUGGUGUAGCCUAUGCAGUGAACGAAGCAAAAGUUGCCAACAUCAGAUUGUUUUGGGUUGGGAUCACUCCAAGUAACAUGGUUGACCUAUUGGGAUCAACUGCAACUGAUUCUAGAUAUAUCUACAACCUUUCAGCCACCAAUGAUCCUGCUGCACUUCAAAAUACAAUAAAUUCCAUCACAAACCAAAUAGUGGAAGAUUCACAAUCCGUGUGCUGUGUCUAUGAUUGUGAGGGACUAAGAGGGUCACCUGGACCACCUGGUAGCCCUGGAGACCAAGGCAGUGAAGGAAGGAGAGGCCCAUCAGGGAAACCAGGUGGUCAAGGACCAAAGGGAUCUGGCGGUGACCCUGGUCCUCCUGGUCACGCAGGGAUCAAGGGUAACAGAGGACAAGCUGGUACAAAGGGUUUUAAAGGACAAAAAGGACCAAAGGGAUCUAGGGGCAGAAAUGGUAUUGAUGGAAAAGAUGGAUCUAAGGGUGAGCCUGGCAUACCGGGGUUACCCGGCUGUAAAGGGGACGCUGGACCAGACGGUUUGCCAGGCCCUCUAGGGCAAAAAGGAGAUUCGGGCCCUUUGGGUAUGAAGGGGGAAAAGGGUAUAAGAGGUACACUUGGAACACAGGGAAUAUCUGGCGUGCCAGGAGACACCGGUGCAAAGGGAGAAAAAGGGCCUAUUGGACAAAAAGGAAACAAGGGGGAACGUGGAGAUGAGGGAGAAAUUGGAAAACGUGGCUCUACGGGGAAAAGGGGUGAAAAGGGUGAACAGGGAAUAAGAGGCCCUCCUGGUGUCCGUGGACUUCGAGGAGACAAGGGUAAAACAGGACCUCUAGGACCGCAAGGACAUGAAGGCAUUAAUGGAGAAAAUGGUUGUACGGGAGUCGCUGGAGAAAUCGGUAUAAAUGGCUACAAGGGAGAACCAGGCCCUGCAGGCCUUGAGGGAAUCAAAGGUGCAAGAGGAUUAAAAGGUCCCCCAGGAGACACAGGAGCACCAGGUUACAGGGGUGAAGAAGGUGAACCAGGCCAGGGAAUAGCUGGAUCAAUUGGAUUUCAGGGAUUUCCUGGUUUAAGAGGUCCGGAUGGUUCAAAGGGAAUCAAAGGAUACCCAGGAAUGAAAGGAGACCAAGGAACCCCUGGAGACACAGGAGAUGAUGAUAAUCGUACUGGAAAAGAAGGAGAAAAAGGCCAAAAGGGAUAUGCUGGUCCUCCAGGGGAACAGGGUCCUCCUGGUAUGCCCGGACUCCCAGGACCAAAUAGUGUCCAUGUGGCCCGGUAAUGCUGUUCUUUGUCCUGGACAGUUCAGAAAGCGUUGGGCUUCAGAACUUCACUCUGGAGAAGGAAUUUAUUAUUCGUGUGAUUAGCAAGAUCACCAAGAAAGGUGGAAAUAAGGAAAUGGUUGGCACACGUGUGGCUAUCAUUCAAUACAGCCAUGGAGGGAAACAGGAACUGCUUUCUAUGGAUGACCCAAACAUUAAAACUCUGGCUCAGUUUAAGAG